AUCGGUUGUGUCGCGGGUUGUGUCACAGGUUGUGUAGCGGGUUGUGUCGCAGGUUGUGUAACCUGCGGCCUGAGAAAAAUUGAAUAUCUGACGAUCGACACAACAUGCGACAUAAGCUAAUUCGGUUGUGCUGCAGGUUGUGUCGCUCUCGGCCAUUUUUUACUCAACUUCAAAAAUUUUUGCAAUUCAACUCUAAUAUCCUCCAAAUGGCUAUUCUGAUCAAAAUAUACCAAAUUUCUCCAAAUUUAACAGAUGAAUGAGAUGAACAGAAUUAGUUGACAGCCUCCCCGUCUCAAUUUAAAGAAGGCCAGACAAUGAUUCCUGGAAAUUGGAGAAAUUAAUGAAAGGAUUAAAUCCAGCAAAUGAAAUUCACUUGUUACACUAAUCAUGUUGCAGAAACUAAUUCUCACCCAAUGCAUAGAAAUGCAUUGGAAUCUACCAAAUAUUAAAUGAAAGAAAAAGAAAAAGCCUUGCAAUAGAGGUUGAAGGUGAGAACUUACACAGUGACAGUGCAGAGGAUUUUUCUAAUCAAACAUUCCCUCGAAUUACUUUGUCAUUGAUAGAAAUAUUUGGGAUGUGAGUAACCUCGGGCCAAUUCUCCCCACCGUUCUUUUCAAAUUUUUCUGAUAGGUUGGGACAACGGUUGAUAUACAAAAAUUGUAAUGCAGUAAGGUUGUCCAUCCCCUCUGGUAAAGACAUCAAAUUACGACAAUCGCUGAUCUCGAGAACAUGCAGAGUGGUAGCAUACCGAAGUCCCCUUGGGAGAGACACCAAGUUCAGGUUAUUAUGAAGCCUUAGAGAACGGAGGUUUUUAAGGGCUUGCCAUUGCGUUCCUUUGUCAUUCUCAGCACGUGACAGAGUUGUUAUAUUUGUGCAACUAUUAACAAUCAGACUUUGAAGAGAAGUAAGGUUAAACAGCAACUCUGGCAGA
RNAcentral lists this unclassified non-coding RNA (931 nucleotides) under Hevea brasiliensis (rubber tree). Lineage: Eukaryota; Viridiplantae; Streptophyta; Magnoliopsida; Malpighiales; Euphorbiaceae. The record is from RNAcentral.